This 75-nucleotide transfer RNA is filed under the name Bifidobacterium longum. Its description in RNAcentral is "tRNA-OTHER". It matches the Rfam family "tRNA". Rfam says of the family: Transfer RNA (tRNA) molecules are approximately 80 nucleotides in length. The record is from RNAcentral. Lineage: Bacteria; Bacillati; Actinomycetota; Actinomycetes; Bifidobacteriales; Bifidobacteriaceae.
GCCUCUGUAGCUUAAACGGUAGAGCAAGGGUUUUUAAACCUUGGGUUGUGGGUUCGAAUCCCACGGGGGGCACCU